RNAcentral lists this ribosomal RNA (306 nucleotides) under uncultured bacterium. RNAcentral describes it as "partial 16S ribosomal RNA". It matches the Rfam family "Bacterial small subunit ribosomal RNA", at positions 507 to 807 of the family's 1533-position model. The record is from RNAcentral.
GACAGCAGUAGCCGCGGGAAUACAGAGGGUGCGAGCGUUAAUCGGAUUUACUGGGCGUAAAGCGUGCGUAGGCGGCUUCUUAAGUCGGAUGUGAAAUCCCUGAGCUUAACUUAGGAAUUGCAUUCGAUACUGGGAAGCUAGAGUAUGGGAGAGGAUGGUAGAAUUCCAGGUGUAGCGGUGAAAUGCGUAGAGAUCUGGAGGAAUACCGAUGGCGAAGGCAGCCAUCUGGCCUAAUACUGACGCUGAGGUACGAAAGCAUGGGGAGCAAACAGGAUUAGAUACCCGGGUAGUCCCUGUCUCUUAUAC